AAUUAUUAGGUGAUACAGUCAGUUGAUUAGGAGAAAAUUUGGUUUUCUAAAGUGAAUCAAUAAUUG
This 66-nucleotide transfer RNA is filed under the name Brentisentis yangtzensis. Its description in RNAcentral is "tRNA-Gln". Lineage: Eukaryota; Metazoa; Acanthocephala; Palaeacanthocephala; Echinorhynchida; Leptorhynchoididae. The record is from RNAcentral.